GAGACGCUAAGGCGUCGAAGUAGUGUAUGUCAUACUUCCAAGAAAAGCUUGCACUGUCAUAAGUAAAAAAUGCCUGUACCAUAACCGACACAGGUGGGUAGGUAGAGUAUACUAAGGGGCGCGAGAUAACUCUCUCUAAGGAACUCGGCAAAAUGGCUCCGUAACUUCGGGAGAAGGAGUGCCUUAUUUAUAAGGUUGCAAUAACAAGAUCCAAGCAACUGUUUAUCAAAAACACAGGUCUCCGCUAAGUCGUAAGACGAUGUAUGGGGGCUGACGCCUGCCCAGUGCCAGAAGGUUAAAGAAGUUGGUUAGUGUAUGCGAAGCUGAUGACUGAAGCCCUGGUGAACGGCGGCCGUAACGAUAACGGUCCUAAGGUAGCGAAAUUCCUUGUCGGGUAAGUUCCGACCCGCACGAAAGGCGUAAUGAUUUGGAUACUGUCUCGGAGAGAGGCUCGGUGAAAUAGACUUGUCUGUGAAGAUGCGGACUACCUGCACCAGGACAGAAAGACCCUAUGAAGCUUUACUGUAACUUGAAAUUGGAAUUGGACUUUGCUUGCGCAGUAUAGGUGGGAAGCGUUGAAAAUAUUCUUGCGGGAGUAUUGGAGCUAUCAGUGAGAUACCACUCUUGUAAUGUUAGAUUUCUAACUAAACCAUAAUCUGGUCAAAGAACAGUUUCAGGUGGGCAGUUUGACUGGGGCGGUCGCCUCCCAAAUGGUAACGGAGGCGUACAAAGGUUUCCUCUGAACGGAUAGAAAUCGUAUCUAGAGUGUAAAGGCAUAAGGAAGCUUGACUGUGAGACCUACAAGUCGAGCAGGGACGAAAGUCGGUCUCUUGAUCUGACGGUACUGAGUGGAAAGGCCGUCACUCAACGGAUAAAAGUUACUCUAGGAUAACAGGCUGAUCUCCCCCAAGAGUUCACAUCGACGGGGAGGUUUGGCACCUCGAUGUCGGCUCAUCGCAUCCUGGGGCGGUAGUACGUCCCAAGGGUUGGGCUGUUCGCCCAUGAAAGCGGUACGCGAGCUGGGUUCAGAACGUCGUGAGACAGUUCGGUCCAUAUCCGGUGUAGGCGCUAGAAUAUUGAGAGGAGCCUUCUUUAGUACGAGAGGACCGAGAAGGACACACCGCUGGUGUACCAGUUAUCGUGCCAACGGUAAACGCUGGGUAGCUAUGUGUGGAGUGGAUAACCGCUGAAAGCAUCUAAGUGGGAAGCCCACCUCGAGAUGAGUAUUCUC
This 1231-nucleotide ribosomal RNA is filed under the name metagenome. Its description in RNAcentral is "bacterial LSU rRNA". It matches the Rfam family "Bacterial large subunit ribosomal RNA", at positions 1570 to 2815 of the family's 2925-position model. The record is from RNAcentral.